GUCCUUGUGUUCGUCCCAUAAGUCUGGUGCCAUAUUGUUUUCAUGUCCUACAACCCAUCCGCGCCAUAGCCUUUGCAUAUUUCAGUUUCAGAGUCCGUAGUGUUGAGUUUGUGUCCUGGUUGAGGUCUUGUUACUGGUUAGGUCUUGUUAGAGUCCAAUUUGUGUGUUUCUUCCCACCGUUUCCAUCAAUUUAUAGCCACCGCCGCAAAUUUUCCCACUUCUGGACUGUUUUGUCCUCUAAUUCGGAGUCCGUUCGUAAAACAGCCAUAACUUUCGCAUACGAACUCCGAUUUUGACGUUCCAUAUAUCAAAAUCGAUCAGAAAAUUUUUUUGGGUCUGUCUAUGCCCGCUAGUCGGGUUCGACAAAUUUAGAAUCCCCAAAUUCGCCUCUGAAGUUUGAGUUUUCACCUCCUAAAGUUUUCUUUAUAUUUUUCGCAAUCUUCAAAAGUUUCCACAGGCCACGUCUUUCACUUGUUCAAGCUCAAAUUUCCUGUGGUUACUUCUUGAGUGCUCCUAAGUAAAAGAAAAUUAUCAAAAAAAAAAAUAAAAAGAAUUGCAGGUUUCGAACCGUGUUGUUCGCAAGCUGGAUUGAUUUGUCUCUUUUCCACCAAAUCGAUAGUUGCCAGAAACUUUCGGAAGAUCGGGCCACACUUAUUCUCCUCAAGUGGUAAUCAAAGCUUCAGACAUAACGUUAGGUUCACAUCUACCCUUAGUUUCAAGUGUCCUUGUGUUGGUCCCAUAAGUCUGGUGCCGUAUUAUUUUCAUGUCCUACAACCCAUCCGCGCCAUAGCCUUUGCAUAUUUCAGUUUCCGAGUCCGUAGUGUUGAGUUUGUGUCCUGGUCGAGCUCUUGUUACUGGUUAGGUCUUGUUAGAGUCCAAUUUGUAUGUUUCUUCCCACCGUUUCCAUCAAUUUAUAGCCACCGCCGCAAAUUUUCCCACUUCUGGACUGUUUUGUCCUCUAAUUCGGAGUCCGUUCUUAAAACAGUCAUAACUUUCGCAUACGAACUCCGAUUUUGGCAUUCUAUAUAUCAAAAUCGAUCAGAAAAUUUUUCUGGGUCUGUCUAUGCCUGCUAGCGGGUUCGACAAAUUUAGAAUCCCCAAAUUCGCCUCUGAAGUUUGAGUUUUCACCUCCUAAAGUUUUCUUUAUAUUUUUCGCAAUCUUCAAAACUUUCCACAGGCCACGUCUUUCACUUGUUCAAGCUCAAAUUUCCUGUGGUUACUUCUUGUGUGCUCCUAAGUAAAAGAAAAAUAUCAAAGAAAAAUAAAAAGAACUGCAGGUUUCGAACCAUGUUGUUCGCAAGCUGGAUUGAUUUGUGUCUCUUUUCCACCAAAUCGAUAGUUGCCAGAAACUUUCGGAAGAUCGGGCCACACUUAUUCUCCUCAAGUGGUAAUCAAAGCUUCAGACAUAACGUUAGGUUCACAUCUACCCUUAGUUUCGAGUGUCCUUGUGUUCGUCCCAUAAGUCUGGUGCCAUAUUGUUUUCAUGUCCUACAACCCAUCCGCGCCAUAGCCUUUGCAUAUUUCAGUUUCAGAGUCCGUAGUGUUGAGUUUGUGUCCUGGUCGAGGUCUUGUUACUGGUUAGGUCUUGUUAGAGUCCAAUUUGUGUGUUUCUUCCCACCGUUUCCAUCAAUUUAUAGCCACCGCCGCAAAUUUUCCCACUUCUGGACUGUUUUGUCCUCUAAUUCGGAGUCCGUUCGUAAAACAGCCAUAACUUUCGCAUACGAACUCCGAUUUUGACGUUCCAUAUAUCAAAAUCGAUCAGAAAAUUUUUUUUGGGUCUGUCUAUGCCCGCCAUAGGCGGGUUCGACAAAUUAGGAUCCCCAAAUUCGCCUCUGAAGUUUGAGUUUUCACCUCCUAAAGUUUUCUUUAUAUUUUUCGCAAUCUUCAAAACUUUCCACAGGCCACGUCUUUCACUUGUUCAAGCUCAAAUUUCCUGUGGUUACUUCUUGAGUGCUCCCAAGUUAAAGAAAAAUAUCAAAAAAAAUAAAAAGAAUUGCAGGUUUCGAACCGUGUUGUUCGUAAGCUGGAUUGAUUUGUGUCUUUUUUCCACCAAAUCGAUAGUUGCCAGAAACUUUCGGAAGAUCGGGCCACACUUAUUCUCCUCAAGUGGUAAUCAAAGCUUCAGACAUAACGUUAGGUUCACAUCUACCCUUAGUUUCGAGUGUCCUUGUGUUCGUCCCAUAAGUCUGGUGCCAUAUUGUUUUCAUGUCCUACAACCCAUCCGCGCCAUAGCCUUUGCAUAUUUCAGUUUCCGAGUUCGUAGUGUUGAGUUUGUGUCCUGGUCGAGAUCUUGUUACUGGUUAGGUCUUGUUAGAGUCCAAUUUGUGUGUUUCUUCCCACCGUUUCCAUCAAUUUAUAGCCACCGCCGCAAAUUUUCCCACUUCUGGACUGUUUUGUCCUCUAAUUCGGAGUCCGUUCGUAAAACAGCCAUAACUUUCGCAUACGAACUCCGAUUUUGACGUUGCAUAUAUCAAAAUCGAUCAGAAAAUUUUUUUGGGUCUGUCUAUGCCCGCUUUGCGGGUUCGACAAAUUUAUAAUCCCCAAAUUCGCCUCUAAAGUUGGAGUUUUCACCUCCUAAUGUUUUCUUUAUAUUUUUCGCAAUCUUCAAAAGUUUCCACAGGCCACGUCUUUCACUUGUUCAAGCUCAAAUUUCCUGUGGUUACUUCUUGAGUGCUCCUAAGUAAAAGAAAAAUAUCUCAAAAAAAUAAAAUAAUUGCAGGUUUCGAACCGUGUUGUUCGCAAAUUGGAUUGAUUUGUGUCUCUUUUCCACCAAAUCGAUAGUUGCCAGAAACUUUCGGAAGAUCGGGCCACACUUAUUCUCCUCAAGUGGUAAUCAAAGCUUCAGACAUAACGUUAGGUUCACAUCUACCCUUAGUUUCGAGUGUCCUUGUGUUCGUCCCAUAAGUCUGGUGCCAUAUUGUUUUCAUGUCCUACAACCCAUCCGCGCCAUAGCCUUUGCAUAUUUCAGUUUUAGAGUCCGUAGUGUUGAGUUUGUGUCCUGGUCGAGGUCUUGUUACUGGUUAGGUCUUGUUAGAGUCCAAUUUGUGUGUUUCUUCCCACCGUUUCCAUCAAUUUAUAGCCACCGCCGCAAAUUUUCCCACUUCAGGACUGUUUUGUCCUCUAAUUCGGAGUCCGUUCGUAAAACAGCCAUAACUUUCGCAUACGUUCCAUAUAUCAAAAUCGAUCAGAAAAUUUUUUUUGGGUCUGUCUAUGCCCGCCACGGGCGGGUUCGACAAAUUAGGAUCCCCAAAUUCGCCUCUGAAGUUUGAGUUUUCAUCUCCUAAAGUUUUCUUUAUAUUUUUCGCAAUCUUCAAAACUUUCCACAGGCCACGUCUUUCACUUGUUCAAGCUCAAAUUUCCUGUGGUUACUUCUUGAGUGCUCCUAAGUAAAAGAAAAAUAUCAAAGAAAAAAUAAAAUAAUUGCAGGUUUCGAACCGUGUUGUUCGCAAACUGGAUUGAUUUGUGUCUCUUUUCCACCAAAUCGAUAGUUGCCAGAAGCUUUCGGAAGAUCGGGCCACACUUAUUCUCCUCAAGUGGUAAUCAAAGCUUCAGACAUAACGUUAGGUUCACAUCUACCCUUUGUUUCGAGUGUCCUUGUGUUCGUCCCAUAAGUCUGGUGCCAUAUUCUUUUCAUGUCCUACAACCCAUCCGCGCCAUAGCCUUUGCAUAUUUCAGUUUCAGAGUCCGUAGUGUUGAGUUUGUGUCCUGGUCGAGGUCUUGUUACAGGUUAGGUCUUGUUAGAGUCCAAUUUGUGUGUUUCUUCCCACCGUUUCCAUCAAUUUAUAGCCACCGCCGCAAAUUUUCCCACUUCUGGACUGUUUUGUCCUCUAAUUCGGAGUCCGUUCGUAAAACAGCCAUAACUUUCGCAUACGAACUCCGAUUUUGACGUUCCAUAUAUCAAAAUCGAUCAGAAAAUUUUUUUUGGGUCUGUCUAUGCCCGCCACGGGCGGGUUCGACAAAUUAGGAUCCCCAAAUUCGCCUCUGAAGUUUGAGUUUUCAUCUUCUAAAGUUUUCUUUAUAUUUUUCGCAAUCUUCAAAACUUUCCACAGGCCACGUCUUUCACUUGUUCAAGCUCAAAUUUCCUGUGGUUACUUCUUGAGUGCUCCCAAGUUAAAGAAAAAUAUCAAAAAAAAAUAAAAAGAAUUGCAGGUUUCGAACCGUGUUGUUCGGAAGCUGGAUUGAUUUGUGUCUUUUUUCCACCAAAUCGAUAGUUGCCAGAAACUUUCGGAGGAUCGGGCCACACUUAUUCUCCUCAAGUGGUAAUCAAAGCUUCAGACUUAACGUUAGGUUCACAUCUACCCUUAGUUUCGAGUGUCCUUGUGUUCGUCCCAUAAGUCUGGUGCCAUAUUGUUUUCAUGUCCUACAACCCAUCCGCGCCAUAGCCUUUGCAUAUUUCAGUUUCCGAGUUCGUAGUGUUGAGUUUGUGUCCUGGUCGAGAUCUUGUUACUGGUUAGGUCUUGUUAGAGUCCAAUUUGUGUGUUUCUUCCCACCGUUUCCAUCAAUUUAUAGCCACCGCCGCAAAUUUUCCCACUUCUGGACUGUUUUGUCCUCUAAUUCGGAGUCCGUUCGUAAAACAGCCAUAACUUUCGCAUACGAACUCCGAUUUUGACGUUGCAUAUAUCAAAAUCGAUCAGAAAAUUUUUUUGGGUCUGUCUAUGCCCGCUUUGCGGGUUCGACAAAUUUAUAAUCCCCAAAUUCGCCUCUAAAGUUGGAGUUUUCACCUCCUAAUGUUUUCUUUAUAUUUUUCGCAAUCUUCAAAAGUUUCCACAGGCCACGUCUUUCACUUGUUCAAGCUCAAAUUUCCUGUGGUUACUUCUUGAGUGCUCCUAAGUAAAAGAAAAAUAUCAAAGAAAAAAUAAAAUAAUUGCAGGUUUCGAACCGUGUUGUUCGCAAACUGGAUUGGGUAAUCAAAGCUUCAGACAUAACGUUAGGUUCACAUCUACCCUUAGUUUCGAGUGUCCUUGUGUUCGUCCCAUAAGUCUGGUGCCAUAUUGUUUUCAUGUCCUACAACCCAUCCGCGCCAUAGCCUUUGCAUAUUUCAGUUUCAGAGUCCGUAGUGUUGAGUUUGUGUCCUGGUCGAGGUCUUGUUACUGGUUGUUAGAGUCCAAUUUUUGUGUUUCUUCCCACCGUUUCCAUCAAUUUAUAGCCACCGCCGCAAAUUUUACCACUUCUAGACUGUUUUGUCAUCUAAUUCGGAGUCCGUUCGUAAAACAGCCAUAACUUUCGCAUACGAACUCCGAUUUUGACGUCGCAUAUAUCAAAAUCGAUCAGAAAAUUUUUCUGAGUCUGUCUAUGCCCGCCAAAGGCGGGUUCGACAAAUUUAGAAUCCCCAAAUUCGCCUCUGAAGUUUGAGUUUUCACCUCCUAAAGUUUUCUUUAUAUUUUUCGCAAUCUUCAAAAGUUUCCACAGGACACGUCUUUCACUUGUUCAAGCUCAAAUUUCCUGUGGUUACUUCUUGAGUGCUCCUAAGUAAAAGAAAAAUAUCAAAAAAAUAAAAUAAAAAGAAUUGCAGGUUUCGAACCGUGUUGUUCGCAAGCUGGAUUGAUUUGUCUCUUUUCCACCAAAUCGAUAGUUGCCAGAAACUUUUGGAAGAUCGAGCCACACUUAUUCUCCUCAAGUGGUAAUCAAAGCUUCAGACAUAACGUUAGGUUCACAUCUACUAUUAGUUUCGAGUGUCCUUGUGUUCGUCCCAUAAGUCUGGUGCCAUAUUGUUUUCAUGUCCUACAACCCAUCCGCGCCAUAGCCUUUGCAUAUUUCAGUUUCAGAGUCCGUAGUGUUGAGUUUGUGUCCUGGUCGAGGUCUUGUUACUGGUUAGGUCUUGUUAGAGUCCAAUUUGUGUGUUUCUUCCCACCGUUUCCAUCAAUUUGUAGCCACCGCCGCAAAUUUUCCCACUUCUGGACUGUUUUGUCCUCUAAUUCGGAGUCCGUUCGUAAAACAGCCAUAACUUUCGCAUACGAACUCCGAUUUUGACGUUCCAUAUAUCAAAAUCGAUCAGAAAAUUUUUUUGGGUCUGUCUAUGCCCGCUAGUCGGGUUCGACAAAUUUAGAAUCCCCAAAUUCGCCUCUGAAGUUUGAGUUUUCACCUCCUAAAGUUUUCUUUAUAUUUUUCGCAAUCUUCAAAAGUUUCCACAGGACACGUCUUUCACUUGUUCAAGCUCAAAUUUCCUGUGGUUACUUCUUGAGUGCUCCUAAGUAAAAGAAAAAUAUCAAAAAAAAAUAAAAAGAAUUGCAGGUUUCGAACCGUGUUGUUCGCAAGCUGGAUUGAUUUGUCUCUUUUCCACCAAAUCGAUAGUUGCCAGAAACUUUCGGAAGAUCGGGCCACACUUAUUCUCCUCAAGUGGUAAUCAAAGCUUCAAACAUAACGUUAGGUUCACAUCUACCCUUAGUUUCGAGUGUCCUUGUGUUCGUCCAAUAAGUCUGGUGCCAUAUUAUUUUCAUGUCCUACAACCCAUCCGCGCGAUAGCCUUUGCAUAUUUCAGUUUCAGAGUCCGUAGUGUUGAGUUUGUGUCCUGGUCGAGGUCUUGUUACUGGUU
RNAcentral lists this long non-coding RNA (6532 nucleotides) under Sorghum bicolor (sorghum). RNAcentral's name for it is "long non-coding RNA (SBIC_LNC010492)". Lineage: Eukaryota; Viridiplantae; Streptophyta; Magnoliopsida; Poales; Poaceae. The record is from RNAcentral.